This 29-nucleotide small RNA is filed under the name Bombyx mori (domestic silkworm). RNAcentral's name for it is "ovarian small RNA-25320". Lineage: Eukaryota; Metazoa; Arthropoda; Insecta; Lepidoptera; Bombycidae. The record is from RNAcentral.
UCACGUCCUCCUCCCACGCUCGAAGGUUU